RNAcentral lists this long non-coding RNA (2863 nucleotides) under Sus scrofa (pig). RNAcentral describes it as "lncRNA (ENSSSCG00055021992.1)". Lineage: Eukaryota; Metazoa; Chordata; Mammalia; Artiodactyla; Suidae. The record is from RNAcentral.
UUUCUAAAUUUAUUGAGUCCUCUCUUUUUCUUGGUAAGUCUGGCUAAGGGUUUAUCAAUUUUGUUGAUCUUUUCAAAGAACCAGCCUUUCAUUUCAUUGAUCUUUUCUAUGGUUUUCUUUGUUUCUAUUUCAUUGAUUUCUGCUCUAAUAUUUAUGAUUUCUUUCCUUCUACUAACUUGAGGUCUUGUAUGUUCUCUCUCUAGCUGCUUUAGAUGUAAAAUUAUCUUGUUUAUUUGAGCUUUUUCUUGUUUCCUGAGGUGGGCUUGUAUUGCUAUAAUCUUUUCUCUUAGAACAGCUUUUGCUGCAUCCCAUAGGUUAUGGAGUGUUGUAUCUUUGUUGUCAUUUGCUUCUACGUAUUUUUAAAUUUCCUCUUUGAUUUCCUCAGUGAUCCAUUGGUUGUUUAGUAGCAUGUUAUCUAGUCUCCACGUGUUUGUGUUUUUUGCAGUUUUUUUCUUGUUGUUGACUUCCAGUCUAUAGUGUUGUGGUCAGAAAAGAUGCUUGAUAUGAUUUCAAUUUUCUUAAAGUUUCCAAGCCUUGAUUUGUGGCCCAGAAUGUGUUCAAUCCUAGAGAAUAUUCUGUGUGCACUUGAGAAGAAUGUGUAUUUUGCUGCUUUUAGAUGGAAUGCCCUAUAAAUAUCUAAGUCCAUCUGUUCUAAUGCUUCAUUUAGGGCCUGUGUUUCCAUGUUGAUUUUAUGUCUGGAUGAUCUUUCUGUUUCUGUAAGUGGGGUGUUAAAGUCCCCUGCUAUUAUUGCGUUAUCAUCACUUUCUCCUUUUAAGGUUGUUAGCAGUUGCCUUAUAUAUUGAGUAUAUAUUAAGUGAUCCUAUGUUGAGUGCGUAUAUAUUUACAAUUGUUACAUCUUCUUGGAUUGAUCCUUUGAUCAUUAUGUAAUGUCCUACUCUGUCUCUUAUAAUAUUUAUUUCAAGGUCUAUUUUGUUUGUUAUGAGUAUUGCUACUCCAGCUUUCUUUUGAUUCCUCUUUGCAUGGAAUAUUUUCUUCCAUCCACUCACUUUCAAUUUGUAUAUGUCCCUAGAAGUAAAGUGGGUCUCUUGAAGAGAGCAUAUAUGUGGGUCUUGUUUUUGUAUCCAUUCAGCCAGUCUAUGUCCUUUGAUUGGGGCAUUUAUUCCAUUUACGUUUAAGGUAAUUAUUGAUAUUAUGUUCUUAUUGUUAUUUUAUUAACUAGCACAGUUUAUUUAAUUGGAUUUGUUUUUGUUGGACUUUUUUCUUCCAUUCUCUUGUUCUCUCUUCUUCUGGUUUGAUGACUAGCUUUAGUGUUGUAUUUGAGUUGAUUUUUCUUAUUUGUGUGUAUCAAUUGUAAAUUUUUGGUUUGCAGGUACCCUGAAGUUUUGAUACAAGAAUACACACACACACACACGAGAUUGUUUUGUUAGUCUCUUAAUUGCAAGUGCAUCUCCAGUGUCCUGCAUGUGUGCCCUCCUCUUCUCAUGAUUUAUGAUUUUGAUAGCAUAUUUGUGCAUGGAUGAUUUUCUACCUUUACUGUAUAUAUGCCUUUACUGGUAAGCCUUGUAAUUUGUGAUAUUUUUGUUUCUAGUUGUGGCCUUUCCUUUUCUGCCUAGAGAAGUUUCUUUAGUAUUUGUUGUAAAGCUGGUUUAGUGUUGCUGAGUUCUCUUAGCUUUUGCUUACCUGUGAAUCUUUUUGAUUUCUCCUUCAAAUAUGAUUGAGAGCCUUGCUGGUUGGAGAUUUUUUCCUUUCAUCACGUUAAGUAUGUCAUGCCACUCCCUCCUGGCCUGCAGAGCUUCUGCUGAAAAAUCUGCCGAUAACCAUAUCAGGGUUCCCUUGUAUAUUACUUGUUUCUUUUCCCUAGCUGCUUUCAGUAUUUUCUCUUGGUCUUUAAUUUUGGUCAGUUUGAUUAAUAUGUGUCUCAGGGUGUUUGCCCUUGGGUUUAUUUUAUAUGGUACUCAUUGUGCUUCCUGGAUUUGAGUGAGUGGUUUCCUUUCCCAUGUUAGGGAAGUUUUCAGCUAUUAUAUCUUUGAAUGUUUUUUCUGUCCCUUUCUCUCUCUCUUCUCCUUCUGGCACCCCUAUAAUAUGGAUGUUGUUGCAUUUAACAUUGUCGCAGACUUCUCUGAGACUGUCUUCAUUUCUUUUCAAUCUUUUUUCUCUUUUCUGUUCCACAUCAGUGAUUUCCACUAGUCUGUCCUCCAUCUCACUUAUUGAUUCUUCUGUCUCCUGUAUUCUGCUGUUGUUUGCUUCUAAUGAAUUUUUUGUUAUUGUAUUUUGCAUCUCUGCUUGCUUAAGUUUUAAAUCUUGUGUUUCUUUGCUCAAUAUUUGCUGUAAUUUAUCAGUCUUUGCCUCCACUUUAUUUCCAAUGUCUUGCAGCAUCUUCGGCAUCAUCAGUCUAAAGUAUUUUUCCUGAAGGCUGAUAAUCUCCAGGUCACUUAGCUGUUUUUCUUGGGUUUUUUUCUUGUUCCCUUAUCUGAGUUAUAGUUCUCUGCCUUUUCACUUUUAUAGGUUUUUGGUGUUUUGUCCUUUUUGCAGACAAUAGAAUUGUAGCCUCUCUUACUUCUGAUGUCUGCCCCACUUGUGGCUGAGGUUAGUACGGGGGCUUGCUGUAGGCUUCCUGAUGGGAGGGACUGGUGCCUGCCCACUGGUAGGUGGGGCUGAUUUCUAUCACUCUGGUGGGUAUUGUUUUUUCUCUGGGUGAGAUUAGAGGCAGCUGUGUGCCUGGUUGGUCUUUAGGCAGCCUGUUUACUGGGUGGAGCUGUAAUCCCACCUGGAUUAUUGUUUGGCCUGGGACUUCUCAGUGCUGAUGGGUGGGGGCAGAUUUUCUCAAAAUAGCCACCUCUAGAGGAACACAUCCUGAUGAAUAUUUCUGAGACCUUUGCCUCCAAUGUCCUUCCCUCACAAC